GUUGAGUCCCCCUCAUAAGCUCACACACCAUCCGAGCAGACAGGUUGGCUUGGCCCCACCAAGCAAUGAGACCUCGCCUCCUGGGCGCUUGAGCCAACGAAGCCGAAGCAGAGAUGGCGAGAUGCCGACGCCAGCGCCGCCGCCGCCACCGCCGCAGGAGGCGUUCCCGCAGAAGGACAAGGAAGAGCAGGAGAAGGUGCACCUGUAGAAGACCACCAUUAAAGAAGAGGAAGGGGUACGUGCGUGUGAUGACGACGUACUACUACAGGAGAUGAUCUGCGAGGCCUGUCUGUGGGCCGGUCUGGAGCCGUGCAUCUCAUCAGCAAUCCCCCAGCCAACACGCCUCCUGCUUCUUGAGGGUGAAAAUCAGCAACGCCCCUCACCGGAAACACCACAAGAGACAAGCCAGCUAACGGGGCACUCUGCAAGACCCAGGAGGCUUCCUGCCACCAACCUGCCAGUAAAGCUGUAAAACGCAUGGUGUGUCAGCACAUCCUUGGGAAAGGGUCAUAAUCGUUGGCCUCUUGAGAUACAUGGCAGAGAUGCGUCAACUCACCACCUGAAGGAGGCCAAUACCAUCCACCAAGACAGGUGAAUGGCCCCAUGGAGAAACAGCCAUUCAGCUGCUGCAGAGAUCUUGGAAACAGGAAACGAUGAGAUACAGGCGAUACCACAGGCACCGAAGCAGAAGAACCUCCCGUUUUAGAAGACACGCCAGGGACAGGAAGCAAGGAGCAAAGAGAGGCAGGAGGAGACGCAGAAGGAGGAGACGCAGGAGGAGGAGAGGCAGAAAAGGAGGUGAAACCCACUGCCACUAUAGGAUACGUGUGAUGUAUUAAGCCUUCUGCUGCAUCCCGUCCUAUGUCCUGUAACAUAUAAACAAUCCCAUUGGGACCAUCUUGACUUCUGGGAGCACAAGGACUAAGAGCCACUGGCCAUAAGAACCACCUGGUAGUAAACUUGGUUGAACGAAUCGUAUGCUGUGAUUUUACUUUGUAUCACCGGGGUCUUUACCAGGUAACUUUUCUAGUCUUUUCUAGGGUUAGGAUGAUUCCUUAAAGGUGUUUCUUCUAAUAGUGGCCAUUUGAGGACAGCGUUCUGAGAACAAAUGAGGAAGCGGCUUUCUAGGUGAAGCAGUAGAGUCGCAUUCUGGCCACGUUGUGGAAGGCAUCACGUUCUCCACCAGCCUCUGCGGAGGUAAAUGACAGCAGCUGGGCCACGUUCCCUGAAAUGGCUCAACAGGAAGGCCCUUCCCAGCUCUUCUCUGCCCUCAUUUCCUCCUGCCUCCCUCUCCUUGUGGGAGGAAGGGAUGGGCUGAGGUGGACGCCCUGUCCGCGGAAGAACAUGCUGCACCCAAGGAGACCGCAGGGAAAUGGCCUAUGACAUAAUAGGUGGAACGCCUAAAGGCCAGGUGGUGUCACCGCACCGACAAUGGCUCGUUAAUACUCCACUCUUGACAGCCUGCUAGUUUUCAUCUCUGCUUCUUCCACUGCUCCCCCCUCGGAGGUGCAGAGUGAGCAGGUGAGGCGCUGGGUUUUUUUGCGACCAAUCAGACGACUCUCCUGCCUUUUCCUGUCACUACCACGGCAUCAUUUUUGCCCCGACCACCGUUAGUCUUCCCUCAUGCCAGUGACCUCUCCGAGCACAGCGUCUGCUCCGGUUAUGAAAGAUGAAACAAAGCCGAGAGGAUGCCAAUCCUCACACAGGUCCAUGACACAGUCAAUGAAAUCUACAUCCAGCCAGAUGGUAACCUUAGGGCGGAUGCUGUGUUCUUCAGCUCGGAUGCUUGGAAGUUCUGCACUGCUAUUGCUGAAGAGUUUGCUGCAGAAGCGUAGGACACAAGGAAAGAUGCUUGAAAGAAGGAUAGACUGUUUUCAGAAUAAUAAAGAGAAUGAAUUGA
This is a non-coding RNA of Pelodiscus sinensis (Chinese soft-shelled turtle), 1900 nucleotides long. Lineage: Eukaryota; Metazoa; Chordata; Testudines; Trionychidae. The record is from RefSeq and is a predicted model, not a curated record.